CCCAGACUCCUACGGGAGGCAGCAGUGGGGAAUAUUGCACAAUGGGGGAAACCCUGAUGCAGCGACGCCGCGUGAGUGAAGAAGUAUUUCGGUAUGUAAAGCUCUAUCAGCAGGGAAGAAAAAAGACGGUACCUGACUAAGAAGCCCCGGCUAACUACGUGCCAGCAGCCGCGGUAAUACGUAGGGGGCAAGCGUUAUCCGGAUUUACUGGGUGUAAAGGGAGCGUAGACGGAGAAGCAAGUCUGAAGUGAAAGCCCGUGGCUUAACCACGGGACUGCUUUGGAAACUGUUUGACUAGAGUGCUGGAGAGGUAAGUGGAAUUCCUAGUGUAGCGGUGAAAUGCGUAGAUAUUAGGAGGAACACCAGUGGCGAAGGCGGCCUGCUGGACGACAACUGACGGCGAGGCGCGAAAGCGUGGGGAGCAAACAGGAUUAGAUACCCUGGUAUG
This 448-nucleotide ribosomal RNA is filed under the name uncultured bacterium. RNAcentral's name for it is "bacterial SSU rRNA". It matches the Rfam family "Bacterial small subunit ribosomal RNA", at positions 330 to 793 of the family's 1533-position model. The record is from RNAcentral.